Molecule: long non-coding RNA, 643 nt
Organism: Coccinella septempunctata (seven-spotted ladybird)
Lineage: Eukaryota; Metazoa; Arthropoda; Insecta; Coleoptera; Coccinellidae
Exons: 3
Source: RefSeq, a predicted model, not a curated record
CCAUUGAACUAAAGAAAGAAAUGGAAGGGACCCGCAGUUCAGCAAAUCGGUCGAAAGUGUGUCCAAAAGUGUGGGAGAGAGAAAGACUAUUGGUGGGUAUCCCUUCUCUCUCUUUUAGAUGUUUUGUUUACAUCAAUCAGCUGACGGUUUUGUUGAUUAUUCAGUUUAAAUUAGUUUUUGGGAUGAUUUCGGUUGUGUUCAAUUGGAAAGAGAUCUAAAAGUGUUCAGAAUGCUAAAACUCACGAUUAAUAUUCGCUUGAAACUUGAAAAAACUCAAAUAAAUCGGGGAAUCUCCGAAUCCCACUCGAAAACCUUUAAGUAUCUGGAUUUUCGGUUUCUGAGAAAUAUGGAUCUAGUGAAGGGAUAGAUUACCUUUACCUGGCCACCCGAGGGAAUUAAAAGGGUUGAAACUGUCUGAGAAGACCUCUUUCGAUAUUAACUGGACAGUUAAAAAAAAAAUCAAAGUUUUUGUGUUUCUCAAAUCAUUGUUGUCCCCAUCAACAUCAGUACUGUUUGCAGUCACGCAAAAUUGGUAAAUUUCAGACUCUUGUUACAACGAUGGUUGUAACAAGUUGCUAAAGGAUGCUCCAAUGACCCGAACAAAAAUGAGCCAAAGAGUUUCCACAGGUUUCCUUUUAAACGC